This 56-nucleotide transfer RNA is filed under the name Symbiodinium sp. Mp. It matches the Rfam family "tRNA", at positions 7 to 61 of the family's 71-position model. From Rfam's summary of the family: Transfer RNA (tRNA) molecules are approximately 80 nucleotides in length. Their secondary structure includes four short double-helical elements and three loops (D, anti-codon, and T loops). The record is from RNAcentral. Lineage: Eukaryota; Dinophyceae; Suessiales; Symbiodiniaceae.
GUGGUGUAACGGUUAGCACUCUGGACUCUGAAUCCAGCGAUCGCGGUUCAAAUCCG